UAAAUAUUAAAGAAAUUUAGAUUUAAUUAUUAAUUUAAGUAUAAACUAAAUAUGUGCCAGCAGUUGCGGUUAAACAUAAUAUACAAAUAAAAUAGUUUGGUAAUUAGUAUUUAAAUAUAAUUUAUAAUUUAAUUUUUUCUUAAAAAGUAAAAUUUAAUUAAUUAUUAUUAUUGUAAUUAUUUUAUUCUAUUAAAUUUUAUUUAAAACUAGGAUUAGAUACCCUAUUAUAAAAAUUUAAAUUAAUUUACUAAAAAAUUAAUAGUUAUGUUCUUUAAAUUUAAAAAAUUUGGCGGUAUUUUAGUCUUAUUAGAGGAACCUGUUUAUUAAUUGAUAAUCCACGAUUAAUUUUACUUAUUUUAUUAAUUCAUAUAUCGCUGUCAUGAAUAUAUUUAAAAAUUUAUUUUCUUUCAUUAUUUUUAUAAUUUAUGUUAAGUCAAGAUGUGGUUUAUAAAUAAGAAUAUAAUGGGUUACAAUAAAUUUUAUUUUUGAAUUUUAAAUGAAAAUUAAGAUGAAAUUGGAUUUAAUAGUAAGUUUAUUUAUUUAAAUAAUAUGAAUAUAGAUCUAAAAUAUGUACAUAUUGCCCGUCAUUCUUAUUAAAAAUAAGACAAGUCGUAACAAAGUAAAUGUACUGGAAAGUGUAUUUAGAAAG
This 649-nucleotide ribosomal RNA is filed under the name Aphis coreopsidis. RNAcentral describes it as "12S ribosomal RNA". Lineage: Eukaryota; Metazoa; Arthropoda; Insecta; Hemiptera; Aphididae. The record is from RNAcentral.